RNAcentral lists this small RNA (276 nucleotides) under Escovopsis weberi. RNAcentral describes it as "A. fumigatus sRNA Afu_309". It matches the Rfam family "A. fumigatus sRNA Afu_309". The record is from Rfam by way of RNAcentral. Lineage: Eukaryota; Fungi; Ascomycota; Sordariomycetes; Hypocreales; Hypocreaceae.
CUUCUCACCAAAUCACCGGAUCUGUGCCCAGCGGUCCUCUGCUUUUUGUCAGGGUCGAUUGCUGCGCAGCUCGAUAACUCCAUGGAGCCAUCUACUUGUUAUGGUGUCAAUUAUCCUAUCGACAGGUCCCAGAACGACCCGGCCUUGAGCUGCCUCAUUCGCCGUCUCACGAUGGCUUGAGUGAUGCGGCUGAUUGCUGGAGGCCCUAUAUUCCAACCCUCUUUUCCGAGGCCGUCGGCCCGUGAGGUUGGGGAAAACCAUGGGUUGCCUACAUUG